Molecule: long non-coding RNA, 261 nt
Organism: Maniola jurtina (meadow brown)
Lineage: Eukaryota; Metazoa; Arthropoda; Insecta; Lepidoptera; Nymphalidae
Exons: 3
Source: RefSeq, a predicted model, not a curated record
CCCUAAAGGGGUGAAAUGGGGGUUGGAAGAUUAUGUGAAAGUCACAUGUUUUUGAAGUUUGAGGUAUGAAAAUCGGUAUUUAGGUAACUAGCUUUAAAGUGAUAAAGUGAGUGAGUAGUUAAGUGAGGCCUUUUGCAGCGGGAAAAUUUCUAACUUCAUUGGAAACCAGAAAUUUUACGCAGACGAAGUCGCAGGCAACUGCUAGUAAUAAUAUAAUCAGCACCACUAAUAUUAUAAAUGUGAAAGUGUUUCUUUAUUGGU